UACGUAGGGUGCAAGCGUUAUCCGGAAUUAUUGGGCGUAAAGAGCUCGUAGGCGGUUUGUCGCGUUGUUCGUGAAAACUCACAGCUUAACUGUGGGCGUGCGGGCGAUACGGGCAGACUUGAGUACUGCAGGGGGAGACUGGAAUUCCUGGUGUAGCGGUGGAAUGCGCAGAUAUCAGGAGGAACACCGGUGGCGAAGGCGGGUCUCUGGGCAGUAACUGACGCUGAGGAGCGAAAGCGUGGGGAGCGAACAGGAUAGAUACC
RNAcentral lists this ribosomal RNA (263 nucleotides) under uncultured bacterium. RNAcentral describes it as "partial 16S ribosomal RNA". It matches the Rfam family "Bacterial small subunit ribosomal RNA", at positions 524 to 786 of the family's 1533-position model. The record is from RNAcentral.